This 498-nucleotide ribosomal RNA is filed under the name uncultured bacterium. RNAcentral describes it as "partial 16S ribosomal RNA". It matches the Rfam family "Bacterial small subunit ribosomal RNA", at positions 30 to 523 of the family's 1533-position model. The record is from RNAcentral.
AUUGAACGCUGGCGGCAUGCCUUACACAUGCAAGUCGAACGGUAACCGGUCUUCGGAUGCUGACGAGUGGCGCACGGGUGAGUAAUACAUCGGAACGGGCCUAGUAGUGGGGGAUAACUACUCGAAAGAGUGGUUAAUACCGCAUGAGAUCUACGGAUGAAAGCAGGAGAUCGCAAGACCUCGUGCUACUAGAGCGGCCGAUGGCAGAUGAGGCAGUUGGUGGGAUAAAAGCUUACCAAGCCGACGAUCUGUAACUGGUCGAAGAGGACGAGCAGCCACACUGGGACUGAGACACGGCCCAGACUCAUACGGGAGGCAGCAGUGAGGAAUUUUGGACAAUGAGCGCAAGCCUGAUCCAGCAAUGCCGCGUGCAGGAUGAAGGCCUUCGGGUUGUAAACUGCUUUUGUACGGAACGAAAAGCCCUGGGUUAAUACCCUGGGGUCAUGACGGUACCGUAAGAAUAAGCACCGGCUAACUACGUGCCAGCCGCCGCGGUAA